This is a long non-coding RNA of Chinchilla lanigera (long-tailed chinchilla), 2216 nucleotides long. RefSeq lists it as uncharacterized. Lineage: Eukaryota; Metazoa; Chordata; Mammalia; Rodentia; Chinchillidae. The transcript has 3 exons. The record is from RefSeq and is a predicted model, not a curated record.
ACCCCAGAGGAAAGUGGGUAGAAGCUGGAAACCUGGGCCUCCUCCCAAAGCAGGCUGUGCUGGAUCUGAAAACAUCUUGUUUUACAUCUUUCUUUAUCGUAAAUAUUGAUAGAGCAUAUGUACAUAACUUUUUGAUUUGGCAUAUACACAUAGCAUUUCCUACAAAAUCUUUAAGUAAAAUUGUCUCCAGGUACGCCCUCCACACUGCAAUAACCUGAGAUUAUUUGGACUCUCCUUAGAGAAAGAUGGAUGAAAGACUCAGGAGAAUCUGGAUCAGAUCUGGGUUUCAUCUUUUGGGAAUUGUGUGAUCACAGAGAGUUAAUUAAACUCUGUAACAUUUUGUUUCUUCAUCUGUACAAGGAGGAUUAAAAACACCAACCGUACAUGACUACCGUGAAGAUUGAAUGGAAUAUUCAGAUUGUUACACUCCUGGAAUGUGGCAUGGGAACCAAGGCUUGGAUUUGCUUGAACAUAACCAUGUUGGAAAUUGGCCUCAAAUUGGUUCACUUCUAGUGCCACACUACUUCACAAUGCCAGUGAUGUUACCUGCCUGAAUGAGUCACUUUGAAAGUGGAUUCUCCAGGCUGUCGCCUCUUCAGAUGACUGCAGCCCCCUGUUGACAUCUUGACCCCAACUUCUUGGGAGACUUUGAGCCAGAACUGCCCAAUCAAGUUCACAAACACAUGGGCUACAUGAACUGUGAGAGUUCAUGAACUGUCAGCCUCUUUUUGGUUCCUAAACUGAGGGACCUUUUUGCUGAAGAGCACUUUGUCUACCAAAGAAAACUCAAAGCCUCUGAUGUUUACUGUUGUAUUAAUCCAGAAAGUUUUGGAGCAAUCUGUUAUCCAGCUAUAGAUAACUAAUGUAGGUUUUCAUGCUUGGAAAUGAGGUGUUACCAAAGCAAAAAUCUAAAGUGAGAGAGCAUGUGGUAGAACCAGGCCGUGAAUGGACAGAGAGCCCUCACAGAAUACCUCAGGAAAAUCCUGAACAAGCUCUGAGGAACGGCUAACAGAAGUCUAAUUGCCAUCUAUGGGACUAACUGCUUAGCAGUGAGAGUGAAGAAAGUGUGAGAAACCAGUGGCGUAAAUUGCUGAAAGAAAUGUUAUGAUGAUAUAGGAUUAAAAAGAGAUAAACUAAAGGGAAAUGAUUAGCGAAAGGGGAAUAGCUUGCCAGUUUUGACAAUUACCAGCCCUUCAGAUGGUAACUGAUACUAAGAGCAAGAUAUAGUUUCUGGCAAAGAUCAAAGCUAGAGCACGGUCAGGAAAAUAUCACCUAAAUAUGAAGCUAAUGGCAGUGUUACAAAACCGUUUAGGAACUCAGAAAGAUUUAAGAGCAACUGUGUCAACUAACGGUGUGUCUAUAGUUGCUACCCCUCGGCAACUCCAUCAGAGUUUAGGGUAGAGAAGGGCUGAGCUCAGAGAUUUUGGGCAGGUCUUCUGUCUCUAAUAGAGUAAAUGGCAAAACAAUUUGUACGAGACCCAUAGCAUUCUUCAAAUAACUGUGUUCACAGAAAUACCGUCAGUUUGGACUGAAAGGACUACACAUCACAUAAAAUGAAAAAAAAUAAAUCAUUUGAGCCCAUAAACUUUUUAAAGCAGGAAACAUGCCGAGAAAACUAGACAACUACAAGUGUGGUAUUUUUCAAGGAAAAAAAUGGUCAGAAUCAAGAGCCCAAAACAGAGAUAAGAGGCUGGGUGUUAUUCCAAGGUCUACAGUCUCAUCAAGGAACUGCUAACAUGUGCAGUUAGCAGCUUAUUUCAGGGUCACUAGCAAUCAGACACUCUGGGGAGCCUCCUUUCCCCCAUUAUUACACUCGUCCUAUAUCAUCCUACUAUUGUACGUUAAGCAUGUGUGUGUGGGUUAUUAAUCAGAUUUCUGCCUUUAUAAUGAAAUACCUGACCAGGAUACUUAUAAAAUAAUGAGACUUUUAUUUUUGUGGUUUAUAAUUCUAGAGGCACAAGUCCAAGAUUUGGUAGUCCUACCAAUUUGGGUCUCUGGUAAGGGUAGCCCAUUGUGGUGGGAGUACAUCAGAGCAAGUGGCCAGGUCUUGACCCUGGAAACAGACAGACGAGGAGACUGUGGUUCUAUGGUGCCCUUUUUGAGACACCCCCUCCCAGUGACUGAAGAAUCACCACUUGCUCUGUGAUGGUUUGUGUCUAGGCAUCCCCCCAAAGCCUCAUGCAGCCACAGGGCUUUUCAGAGGUGGCUGAAUCUAG